UGAUGCAGCGACGCCGCGUGAGGGAUGACGGCCUUCGGGUUGUAAACCUCUUUCAGUAGGGAAGAAGCGAAAGUGACGGUACCUGCAGAAGAAGCGCCGGCUAACUACGUGCCAGCAGCCGCGGUAAUACGUAGGGCGCAAGCGUUAUCCGGAAUUAUUGGGCGUAAAGAGCUCGUAGGCGGUUUGUCGCGUCUGCUGUGAAAGACCGGGGCUCAACUCCGGUUCUGCAGUGGGUACGGGCAGACUAGAGUGCAGUAGGGGAGACUGGAAUUCCUGGUGUAGCGGUGAAAUGCGCAGAUAUCAGGAGGAACACCGAUGGCGAAGGCAGGUCUCUGGGCUGUAACUGACGCUGAGGAGCGAAAGCAUGGGGAGCGAACAGGAUUAGAUACCCUGGUAGUCCAUGCCGUAAACGUUGGGCACUAGGUGUGGGGGACAUUCCACGUUUUCCGCGCCGUAGCUAACGCAUUAAGUGCCCCGCCUGGGGAGUACGGCCGCAAGGCUAAAACUCAAAGGAAUUGACGGGGGCCCGCACAAGCGGCGGAGCAUGCGGAUUAAUUCGAUGCAACGCGAAGAACCUUACCAAGGCUUGACAUGAACCGGAAAGACCUGGAAACAGGUGCCCCGCUUGCGGUCGGUUUACAGGUGGUGCAUGGUUGUCGUCAGCUCGUGUCGUGAGAUGUUGGGUUAAGUCCCGCAACGAGCGCAACCCUCGUUCUAUGUUGCCAGCGCGUUAUGGCGGGGACUCAUAGGAGACUGCCGGGGUCAACUCGGAGGAAGGUGGGGACGACGUCAAAUCAUCAUGCCCCUUAUGUCUUGGGCUUCACGCAUGCUACAAUGGCCGGUACAAAGGGUUGCGAUACUGUGAGGUGGAGCUAAUCCCAAAAAGCCGGUCUCAGUUCGGAUUGGGGUCUGCAACUCGACCCCAUGAAGUCGGAGUCGCUAGUAAUCGCAGAUCAGCAACGCUGCGGUGAAUACGUUCCCGGGCCUUGUACACACCGCCCGUCAAGUCACGAAAGUUGGUAACACCCGAAGCCGGUGGC
This 1040-nucleotide ribosomal RNA is filed under the name Paenarthrobacter sp. Its description in RNAcentral is "bacterial SSU rRNA". It matches the Rfam family "Bacterial small subunit ribosomal RNA", at positions 384 to 1434 of the family's 1533-position model. The record is from RNAcentral. Lineage: Bacteria; Bacillati; Actinomycetota; Actinomycetes; Micrococcales; Micrococcaceae.